UCAAAUGCAGGUCAUUAGAAGGUUUUGGGCUUCAUUUUCAUGUGAAUGGUAAAAUACGAGGACAGAAGAUGAAGACAAUUGCGGUACUUCUUUGCGCCUUUGCGGAAAUCUACGGUUUCUUGACACGGCAACCUACGGCGCAUGGUGGGGGGUCCGGCGGACGGGGGGAAGCAUCAGGAGCGGGAUCAGUACUGAAAGCAUCAGCAGGAGAGAGAGAGACUCGGAGAAGAUUACGCCGCGUAUAUUCCGCUGCAAAAGCCAUGAUGAUGCAUCGGAUAACAAACUUCUGCCGAAUAAGAUUUCUAUUCAAUUACGAAGGUUCCAAUAAUGCCUAUCACUGUUUUCUUUUUAAUUUCUUGCAGUGAUUUUUUGCCCAGUUCAGCUUAGACUGGAUUUGUUUGGAGCAAAACGAUGGCUGUUGUUUCCAUUGAGAAAAUGAUUGCUCUAAUAUUAGAAGUUAAUAACUCUCACGUUACUUUUUAUUGAAUAAAAAUUCAAUAGAAAAUAUAUUUUGUUAAGCAGAUGGUGGAAGUGUUGUUAUUCUUGUUCUAGAAUGGCUCCUCCAUCUCUCUCUCUCUCUACACAUAUAUUUUAUAUACAUAGAGGAGAGAGAGGCUGCACAUUUUACAUUAAUUCCUUGAAAAUAGAGUUAAUAAUUUUAAUAACAAUGAUAGGUCAUCGAAAUUGAAGACUCGGAACCAUUUAACAUAAUCUACACUAUAACAAAUAGUUAGGAAUCAAAGUUUAUUAUAUUUUGGUAGUCUCUUACCUAUGUAUUGAAUUGAUUAAAAGUAAACAAUAUUAAUUGUAUUGGUAUGGUAAAGUACAUGAUAGGAAAUAUAUAUUAAAAAGUUACUUUACAGAUCAAGGUAUACGUAUUUUAAAAUAAGGACAUAUUUAAAGUCAUUAGAUUUUGAUCAUUAGGUUAUGUAAAGUAUUGUAUCACACUAUUGAAAUGGUCUGUUUUGGCAUCUACUUGACAAUUAAGUUAAAGAGAUCCAAAAUAUAUGAAUUUUAUGUAUUUUUAAAGUCUAGAUCAUGUACAAUGACUUGAUUUUGAACUUUAAUAGUCCAUCAUUAGUUUUGAAUCAUGAAAACGUGCACGCGCACACAUAUAUAUAUAUUUAUUAACCUAUAUAUAUAUACACACACAUAUAUGUAUAUAUAUAUACAUACAUACAUACAUAGAUACAUAGGAUAAGGUUUUCAAAUCAUAUAAUUUUUUGUCAACCAAGAAAUUUAGGUAUAAUAGACCACAUCCAACAGCUUGUGCUAGGUCCCCUUUUCGUCUUGGGAGGACUACUCAUGUGCUAUUGUGUGGGCAUCCUCAUGAUAAUAGCUCUUCUCAUAUGUGUGUAUAUAGGAAGUCUCCUGUUUUUGCAUCAAGUGCGCAUAAAUAAGCGAUAGCAAUAUUUGUGUGAUCUUAAUAAGCAUAACUUUGAUAUCAAUCCAACCCCUCUUUCAGAGUAAAAAAAAAAAUCCAUACUCCUCCCCUAAUUUUUUUCUUAUUUCUUGUACGCAACAAAUCAUUAAUUUCUUCAACCAAGGAAGGUGCCUAAUUACCGAAAAAGACAAUCAAGGGAGGUGUUAACUAUAUGCAUCUGACUUUUGACCCCAAAAGUAUUCGUGAAUCGGCCGAUGCUGAAUAACAAUCUUAAACAUUAUUUGUCAUCUAGAAAGAGAUUGUAUCAUGAGGAUACAGUGAGCUCAAGAUUGUCUAUAACAGGAGAAAACGAAAACUCACCACCUAGAGGCUUGUUUGAUGCUCUUAUAGCUACGGCCGUGGGGAUGAGAGGGCCUCCCGAGACCAGCAGCAUGAUUAAUAGGAGAAGAACCUUCAGAACCAUAUUGUUCUUAGAUAGCUA
RNAcentral lists this long non-coding RNA (1865 nucleotides) under Phoenix dactylifera (date palm). Its description in RNAcentral is "long non-coding RNA (PDAC_LNC005850)". Lineage: Eukaryota; Viridiplantae; Streptophyta; Magnoliopsida; Arecales; Arecaceae. The record is from RNAcentral.